GGGGGUGUAAAGGCUUCGACGGGGAUUUUGAGUCUUGGUAAGCGAGCAGCGGUGCGGAACCGCUAUAAAAUCCGCAAACUAAAAAUAAACGACGACUAUCCAGUUGCGUUAGCAGCCUAAGUGCUGCUCGUCCUGCUUAAGAAUACCACGGCUUAAGCGAGGGCGUCGAUUAGUGGUGAACGCAAGCGGGCACACUCCUUUAACCUGUUUGUGUAUCAAAGGAUACUAAGUGCAAAAGCCCUUCAUCGGGCGGUUGCGUGAGGGAAUGUCAAAACGAUGAAUACGCUCGUAGAAAGCCUUGAUAACGGAUUUUCGGACAGGGGUUCAAUUCCCCUCACCUCCACCA
This 346-nucleotide transfer-messenger RNA is filed under the name Acutalibacteraceae. RNAcentral describes it as "RUG592 sp902802975 Standard tmRNA". It matches the Rfam family "transfer-messenger RNA". Rfam says of the family: Bacterial tmRNA, also known as 10Sa RNA or SsrA, is named for its dual tRNA and mRNA-like properties. Its role is to liberate the mRNA from a stalled ribosome. Lineage: Bacteria; Bacillati; Bacillota; Clostridia; Eubacteriales. The record is from RNAcentral. RNAcentral also lists the same sequence under 1 other name.